RNAcentral lists this ribosomal RNA (253 nucleotides) under uncultured bacterium. Its description in RNAcentral is "partial 16S ribosomal RNA". It matches the Rfam family "Bacterial small subunit ribosomal RNA", at positions 524 to 776 of the family's 1533-position model. The record is from RNAcentral.
UACAGAGGGUGCAAGCGUUAAUCGGAUUUACUGGGCGUAAAGGGUGCGUAGGUGGUUUUGUAAGUCGGAUGUGAAAUCCUCGGGCUCAACCUGAGAACUGCACUCGAUACUGCGAGACUAGAGAUCGGUAGAGGGCGGCGGAAUUUCCGGUGUAGCAGUGAAAUGCGUAGAUAUCGGAAGGAACAUCAAUGGCGAAGGCAGCCGCCUGGGCCUGAUCUGACACUGAGGCACGAAAGCGUGGGUAGCAAACAGG